RNAcentral lists this ribosomal RNA (505 nucleotides) under uncultured bacterium. RNAcentral's name for it is "partial 16S ribosomal RNA". It matches the Rfam family "Bacterial small subunit ribosomal RNA", at positions 28 to 507 of the family's 1533-position model. The record is from RNAcentral.
GACGAACGCUGGCGGCGUGCCUAAUACAUGCAAGUCGGACGCACAGUCUAUACCGUAGCUUGCUACACCAUAGGCUGUGAGUUGCGAACGGGUGAGUAACGCGUAGGUAACCUGCCUAUUAGAGGGGGAUAACUAUUGGAAACGAUAGCUAAUACCGCAUAACAGUAUGUAACCCAUGUUAGAUGCUUGAAGGAUGCAAUUGCAUCGCUAGUAGAUGGACCUGCGUUGUAUUAGCUAGUAGGUAGGGUAAUGGCCUACCUAGGCGACGAUACAUAGCCGACCUGAGAGGGUGAUCGGCCACACUGGGACUGAGACACGGCCCAGACUCCUACGGGAGGCAGCAGUAGGGAAUCUUCGGAAAUGGGGGGAACCCUGACCGAGCAACGCCGCGUGAGUGAAGAAGGUUUUCGGAUCGUAAAGCUCUGUUGUUAAGGAAGAACGAGUGUGAGAAUGGAAAGUUCAUACUGUGACGGUACUUAACCAGAAAGGGACGGCUAACUACGUG